RNAcentral lists this ribosomal RNA (497 nucleotides) under uncultured bacterium. Its description in RNAcentral is "partial 16S ribosomal RNA". It matches the Rfam family "Bacterial small subunit ribosomal RNA", at positions 28 to 507 of the family's 1533-position model. The record is from RNAcentral.
GAUGAACGCUGGCGGCGUGCCUAAUACAUGCAAGUCGAGCGAACGGACGAGAAGCUUGCUCCUCUGAUGUUAGCGGCGGACGGGUGAGUAACACGUGGAUAACCUACCUAUAAGACUGGGAUAACUUCGGGAAACCGGAGCUAAUACCGGAUAAUAUUUUGAACCGCAUGGUUCAAAAGUGAUAGACGGUCUUGCUGUCACUUAUAGAUGGAUCCGCGCUGCAUUAGCUAGUUGGUAAGGUAACGGCUUACCAAGGCGACGAUGCAUAGCCGACCUGAGAGGGUGAUCAGCCACACUGGAACUGAGACACGGUCCAGACUCCUACGGGAGGCAGCAGUAGGGAAUCUUGCGCAAUGGGCGAAAGCCUGACGGAGCAACGCCGCGUGAGUGAUGAAGGUCUUCGGAUUGUAAAGCUCUUUUAUUAGGGAAGAACAGAUGUGUAAGUAAAUGUGCACAUCUUGACGGUACCUAAUCAGAAAGCCCCGGCUAACUACGUG